RNAcentral lists this ribosomal RNA (1374 nucleotides) under uncultured Staphylococcus sp. RNAcentral's name for it is "bacterial SSU rRNA". It matches the Rfam family "Bacterial small subunit ribosomal RNA", at positions 27 to 1383 of the family's 1533-position model. Lineage: Bacteria; Bacillati; Bacillota; Bacilli; Caryophanales; Staphylococcaceae. The record is from RNAcentral.
GGAUGAACGCUGGCGGCGUGCCUAAUACAUGCAAGUCGAGCGAACAGAUAAGGAGCUUGCUCCUUUGACGUUAGCGGCGGACGGGUGAGUAACACGUGGGUAACCUACCUAUAAGACUGGGAUAACUUCGGGAAACCGGAGCUAAUACCGGAUAAUAUUUCGAACCGCAUGGUUCGAUAGUGAAAGAUGGUUUUGCUAUCACUUAUAGAUGGACCCGCGCCGUAUUAGCUAGUUGGUAAGGUAACGGCUUACCAAGGCGACGUUACGUAGCCGACCUGAGAGGGUGAUCGGCCACACUGGAACUGAGACACGGUCCAGACUCCUACGGGAGGCAGCAGUAGGGAAUCUUCCGCAAUGGGCGAAAGCCUGACGGAGCAACGCCGCGUGAGUGAUGAAGGUCUUCGGAUCGUAAAACUCUGUUAUUAGGGAAGAACAUACGUGUAAGUAACUAUGCACGUCUUGACGGUACCUAAUCAGAAAGCCACGGCUAACUACGUGCCAGCAGCCGCGGUAAUACGUAGGUGGCAAGCGUUAUCCGGAAUUAUUGGGCGUAAAGCGCGCGUAGGCGGUUUUUUAAGUCUGAUGUGAAAGCCCACGGCUCAACCGUGGGGGGUCAUUGGAAACUGGAAAACUUGAGUGCAGAAGAGGAAAGUGGAAUUCCAUGUGUAGCGGUGAAAUGCGCAGAGAUAUGGAGGAACACCAGUGGCGAAGGCGACUUCUGGUCUGUAACUGACGCUGAUGUGCGAAAGCGUGGGGAUCAAACAGGAUUAGAUACCCUGGUAGUCCACGCCGUAAACGAUGAGUGCUAAGUGUUAGGGGGUUUCCGCCCCUUAGUGCUGCAGCUAACGCAUUAAGCACUCCGCCUGGGGAGUACGACCGCAAGGUUGAAACUCAAAGGAAUUGACGGGGACCCGCACAAGCGGUGGAGCAUGUGGUUUAAUUCGAAGCAACGCGAAGAACCUUACCAAAUCUUGACAUCCUUUGACAACUCUAGAGAUAGAGCCUUCCCCUUCGGGGGACAAAGUGACAGGUGGUGCAUGGUUGUCGUCAGCUCGUGUCGUGAGAUGUUGGGUUAAGUCCCGCAACGAGCGCAACCCUUAAGCUUAGUUGCCAUCAUUAAGUUGGGCACUCUAAGUUGACUGCCGGUGACAAACCGGAGGAAGGUGGGGAUGACGUCAAAUCAUCAUGCCCCUUAUGAUUUGGGCUGCACACGUGCUACAAUGGACAAUACAAAGGGCAGCGAAACCGCGAGGUCAAGCAAAUCCCAUAAAGUUGUUCUCAGUUCGGAUUGUAGUCUGCAACUCGACUACAUGAAGCUGGAAUCGCUAGUAAUCGUAGAUCAGCAUGCUACGGUGAAUACGUUCCCGGGUCUUG